CAAGAAUUGUCUGGAUUUAUCCAAGCCUAAUGAGAGGAAGGAUUAAGGCAUGGUUGACUGGCAAGCAUAUUUGCAAUCAUGCAACCAUACAUUUUCAGCAGGGACGGAGUCGUGAAGAGAUGCUACAAGGCCCAGAAAGAAAAAAGCAUCAUCAGACAAGGUUCCUAGGAAAACAUCAAUAGAGCAGCUGCAUGUGACAGAAGCUAUUCAGGGAUGAACUACUAGCUCCAACUUAUUCAUUGGUGCUACAUUGAGCGCAAGCUUUCUUCAUAUUGUUGUUCUUAGGAUCGGAAUCUUAGCUUUAUGUUUAAACCAGAUCAUUUCUGCAGAUGAUUUAUGCAGACAGACAUACUUUAGAUAUAGAUCAGUAGACAAUCACAUUCGUUCUGCAGAGUUUUGAGUUGAGAUAAUACCUUUAUUACAUUCUCAUCUUUUGUUUAUUCUAAUUGUUUGGCGCAUCAGAAUUGACAUCUAAUUAUCCUUCUUAACAUGAGAGUAUUACACAAUGAUUACAAUCAAUUGGAACAUAAGUGAAUCACAUAGCAAGUUUUGGAUAAAGAAGAUGCAAUUAGUUUUUCCCCAAUCAGAUAAGUAACAUCACGGAAUUUUGAAAGAAAGUUAAGUUUGUCAGGCAAAGCCUCCAUUGGAAAUUAUAAGGUAAGGGUAAGGUAUGCAUACACACUACCCUCCGCAUAACCCACUUAUGGGAUUACGCUGGGUUUGUUGUUAGUUAAGCUUGUGAGAGUUCCUCAAAUGGGGAUUUCAUGCAGGACAUAGAUCAUCAUGAAAUCCAAAAGAAGAGAAGCAAGAUUCACAAUUAAUUUAGAAGUCCUUAGAAAUUCAAAUGCUCCCAGGCACAAUUACCGAGGUAGCUUUAUCUCUCUUCUGAAAGCUAAACAACUACCUCUCCGGCAAUUCUCUGGCAAGGAACUUAGUUUCUCCUUCGUCAUUCAGCGGUGAUUGCUCAGAAACUGGGUGUAAAUUCAACAUGGGGAAGAAAAGAUUUAUUUUAACUCAGGUUUUAAAUCUUAUGAGAUCACAAGAACCUAUUCAAGGUCUGAAAUCUGGUAUGACUGGGGGGAACGCAGCAGGAACAUGUUUCGGAGAUUAAGUUUCAGCCAUAAAAUCAUGAAGUGGACUGUCUAUGUUCUUAAAAUGGCAUCAAAGGUUCAGACUAUGUCCGUCUUACGUUGGAAAACAAAUGAGUUCUUCUCUCAGUUUAUGGCACAUUGAAGUAUAAUAAAUACGGCAGAUAUAUCAGCAUUAUUGCUAUUACAGGAGACAGCAGAUCAGUUACAAUAAUUCCAGAAGGUACAUUUAAAGAAGGAUGGGGGAAGAUAGCAUUAAAGAUGGAUAGAUUCAUUACUGAUGCAAUCAUAGCGGAAGAAAAAGCCUUCAAGCCAGUCAUUGCCUCCUCUUAUGCUGAACAACUCAGGGCCAACAAAUGGACGACAACAGAGACCAAAACUUCGCCGAUCAAGACUCAAAAAUCCAGAAUUAUUAUGUCUGGUAGCCAUAAGGCUUCAGAUAAUGAUCUUCUAGGAAGAUGCAUUGUUGGCAAAUUUCCUGAUUCGUUGCAGGAAAUACCAACACUCAAUGAUGUCCGGAGAUGGGUCGCUUCAGUUUGGAAAUCUGCUAAUGGAGUAAAUGUUUAUGAGAUGAAUGACUCAUUCUUCUUGUUUGAAAUGCCGACAAGAAAAGCUGCUGAACAUGUGCUGACAGGGGAGUGGAGAUGGAAAAAGGUAAAGCUGAUACUUGAUUGGUGGUCUCCCACAGUUGGCUGCUGGCCAAAAAAUGCAGAAAGGAACUGGGUCUGGAUCCGACUUUUAGGGCUUCCUCUGAAUUUAUGGUCCCAAAAGGUUUUUAGCGAAAUCGGUAAUUUUUGCUGGGGAUGGAUUGAAACAGAAGAAGAAACUAGUCUGAAGAAUCACUUGUGCUGGGCCAGAAUUAAAGUGAAGGGAGACGAUACCAAUGUUCCGAAAGAAGUGGAAGUUGAAAGUGAUGGUUUUAUUUACACCAUCCCUAUACGGUGUGAAAUUCCGGCGAGGGUGGAGGCCGAAAAUCUCUCUGGCAGUGUUUCUUCUGACCAAGCCGAGGAGAACCAGACCUGUGAGGAAGGUGAUAGAAUACGUUUGACCACGUGGGUAGGAGUAAUCAAUUCAAAUCUGUUGACACGUGAGAAGGCACGUGCUAGGGACAAAGGCUGGCUUGAUCGCAAUAGUUGUCAUUAAUAAGGAUUUGGGUUAUAUGCCCAUUAACUGUUAUGGGCCAACAGAUCCUUUGCUUUUAAAUACAGCCCAAGAGUCACCAGCUAUUUUAGAUGGGGAUUUUUAUCUAUC
RNAcentral lists this long non-coding RNA (2339 nucleotides) under Nicotiana benthamiana. RNAcentral describes it as "long non-coding RNA (NBEN_LNC034505)". Lineage: Eukaryota; Viridiplantae; Streptophyta; Magnoliopsida; Solanales; Solanaceae. The record is from RNAcentral.